CAUUAGAUGACUGAAAGCAAGUGUUGGUCUCUUAAACCAUUUUAUAGUAAAUAGCAACUACUUCUAAUG
Molecule: transfer RNA, 69 nt
Filed under: Odontocheila batesii
Lineage: Eukaryota; Metazoa; Arthropoda; Insecta; Coleoptera; Carabidae
Description: tRNA-Lys
Source: RNAcentral